This 230-nucleotide ribosomal RNA is filed under the name Pseudomonas aeruginosa. Its description in RNAcentral is "partial 16S ribosomal RNA". It matches the Rfam family "Bacterial small subunit ribosomal RNA", at positions 936 to 1169 of the family's 1533-position model. Lineage: Bacteria; Pseudomonadati; Pseudomonadota; Gammaproteobacteria; Pseudomonadales; Pseudomonadaceae. The record is from RNAcentral.
AGCAGGUGGUUGGAUUAGAAUUCACGAGAAGAACCUUACCUCGCGUAGGCAUGGGGGGAAGUUUCCACAAAUAGAUGGUGUUUUUGGAAGUCGGACACAGCAGAUGCAAGCUGUCGACAGCUCCUGUCGUGACAAGUUGGGUUAAGUUCCGUAACGAGGGCAACCCUUGUCCUUAGUUACCAGCACCUCGGCUGGGUAGUCCAAGGAGACAGCCGGUGACAAACCCGAGG